GUAGAUGUGUCCGAGUGGUCUAAGGAGCCAGGUUUAGGCCCUGGUCACGAAAGUGGCGCGAGUUCGAACCUCGUCAUCUACA
Hesseltinella vesiculosa is the source of this 82-nucleotide non-coding RNA. The record is from the annotation of a GenBank genome assembly. Lineage: Eukaryota; Fungi; Mucoromycota; Mucoromycetes; Mucorales; Cunninghamellaceae.